UAUCGAAAGGUUCAAAAUAAUCGACCGCCGAAAUAACAUGUAUUAAAUGCCGGUAGUUGUCAUAAUUUGAUAAUGUGAGCCGAUAUGGCAAUAUUAUUACCUCGUUUCAUACAAUAGGUACAGUAACUAAAGAUUAAGAUUAAGAUCGAAUUCCAAUGGCACGUAUUGUUAAAAAUCCGGACGAAACGGUCGAAAUUAAAAACAUAUUAAUUAUAAUACAUAUAGGUAGUUGUUACUGUGUUAAAACUAUUAACUUG
Molecule: non-coding RNA, 257 nt
Organism: Cinara cedri
Lineage: Eukaryota; Metazoa; Arthropoda; Insecta; Hemiptera; Aphididae
Source: the annotation of a GenBank genome assembly